AAUCACAUUCGCAAUGUUGUGAUUUUCUACCUGUGUUAUUGUAUAAUCCAUUCCACUUACGUUUUAAGAAGAUGAGAAGACCAAAGUGGAAAAGGAUAAACAGCAGACGAUCGGCCUAAGCCCAUCACAGAAAAUUAUUAGAGAAUUCAAGAAGAAUGAAAUGAACAAGUAUGGCAUAUUACCAGGAGGUCCGAACUCAAGACAUCGAGUAUGGCAGGUGAGUUUGGACUUUUGCAGAUUCAUAUAUGCCAUGCCUGGCCAUAUAUCAUUUCCUUUGAUGUCAUAUCCUGGACUGUGAAUCAUUUCUCAAUUUCCUUUGGGUUUACAGUUUCUACUUAUCUUUAUAAUACACAUAGAAUCUGUUCAAGGACAAUAGAUGUUCUCUCAACUCUGAUGCUUUGUAUAUCAAAUCUCCUCAAUCACAGCAGUUUUAUGUCCACAUUUUUUCAUGGCUUCUCUUGAAAAUCAUUGGGAGCUUCUUAGCAUAUUUCCAAACUUUCCCUCAGAAACUGGUCUGAAUAUUCUGCUAGUUAUAUUCUUAAGUUUGUUAUUGUUGUCUCAGCACUACAGUUGACGUGAUCUUCCUUUUGAUAUAGAUUGGCAUGUCUUGUAUACAACGCAGUUAACUCAAAAGUCAAAGAAAUAUCAUGAUGGCUUCUUACGUUCUACAAGCAGUGGACCUAUUACUAGGCAGGUCAAGCUCUACAGUCUACGUCUCCUACUGAUCAUUAACCUCGGACAGUACCAGCUUUCUUCUUGCUGAAUUAUCGUCUCUUCCUUCCUUUAUUAGCUGGUUUUCUUCUUCAUGGUUUGUGCACUUCUCAUCAUGCCAGUGAGAAACUUUUAUCAGGAUAAAUAUGGCUCAGAGGAUUGGAAACCUUUUUAAUGGGGGUUUUUCCAGGUUUUUUUGGAUGAUACGAGCUGGAAACUUUUAGAUGGCAGGUUCCCGAACAAAGCUGAAGAAGUGGGCCCUGGGAAGAUUAUGGAAUUUCCCGGUCAUGUGGUUGAAGUUGGCAACUGUGAAGUCAACCGUGAAUCUUUAAGGGAUCUAAAUGCAUGUGGAAACAGCUUCAGUUCUCUUCACAAAUUCAUUAUGCAAAAGCAGCGGCAUAAUGUUACUACUGUUAAUUCUGCUGCAAAAG
This is a long non-coding RNA of Eucalyptus grandis, 1142 nucleotides long. RefSeq lists it as uncharacterized. The record is from RefSeq and is a predicted model, not a curated record. NCBI's taxonomy places the organism in Eukaryota, Viridiplantae, Streptophyta, Magnoliopsida, Myrtales, Myrtaceae. The transcript has 2 exons.